AUGGAUGGCGGCAGUUCUGCAGAUGGAGACGGUGCCGCGGACGACGGCCAUGGCGCGGCUGCGGACGAUGGCCAUGGCGCGGGUGCGGACGUGCUUGCCGAUGGCGCCGGCGGGGCUGAGGAUAGGUCAAUCCACGGCGUCGGGCUAGCCUCGGGCUGCGGUGGGGUUGAGCCAGCAUCGGGCCAGGCCGGAGACUCGGCUACAGCUGGCUCGGGCCUGGCCGGUGGCUCGGCUGCAGCUGGCUCGGGCCAGGGCGCGGCAGUGGCUGGGGUCUCCGGCGAGGGCACGGCUGGGUCGUUCAUGGCAGCAGCUUCAGGCCAGGGAGGUACUCAGUUGCCGCUAGCAACAUGGGCGUGUCCAGAUGGGAUGGAUCCAAAUUCGAGUUAUUUGCUCAAAAUUAAAUUGUUUGGCAAUCCAAAAAAAGCUCGAAAGGACAUAAGAUGUUUUUGUUUUGAGAAGGUUAUCGAUUGUGACUUGACAAAUUAUAAGGAUUUGGUCGAGUCAAUUGUAGAGCAGUACCCGCCGCGUUAUUUGGAAGUUGCACAUGUGCAAUAUUAUGACUAUGCUCUUAAAAACUGUCCAGAAGUAAAAUCUGACCAAGAUUUGAUGAUUAUGUUUGUAAAACACUCGGAGACAAAGAUGCUGCAUAUGAUUAUUGCAUAUUGUGAUCCCUCGGAACCAUAUGAGCCUAUCACCGAGUGGAAUGAACCUAAUAGCAAUAUAGAACAUGAGGAUGAUACUUACCUUCGCAACCCAAGACCUGAGAAUGAGCAUGUUGGUGUUGAUGAGGAGAAUAUGUAUGAAGUGGACGAACCUAUGCCCUUAGAUGUGGUUCUUUAUCGUAAUAAAGAAAAGGAUGAUGAAGUAGAGGCGUCUGAAGUAGAGGAGUCUGAAGUAGAGGACGAUGAAGUAGGGGAGUCUGAAGUAGAGGAUGAUGAAGUAGAGGAGGAUGAGGAGUGCCAUGAGGCAGAGCAUACUCCACAUGUAGAGUAUGACAAAUUAGACCCUCCAAUGACAAAAGGCUUUACAUAUCCCAGCAUGAAAGAUUUCAAGUUGGCACUUUCUCAGCAUGCAAUCAAACAUGAAUUUGAGUAUAAUACCGAGUAUAGUACACCUCAUCGGUUUAGGGGCUAUUGUUCAAGACAAGAUGCUGAUAAUUGUCCAUGGAGGAUACAUGCUUCUACGAUGGAGGAUAAGUGUACUAUAAUGGUGAAGAAAAACCCAUGUGGUCAUGAUUGCUCUAGUACAAGAAGGAAAAACAAGAUGAAGAAUGCAACCAAGUUUUGGAUAUGUGAUAAGGUGAAGGAUUGGCUGAUUGAAGAUGCUACUCUCGGAGCGAAGGCAUUGCGCAAAAAGAUUAAAGAACACCACAAGGUUGACAUCCACUACAAGAGGGUAUAUAUGGGGCAGCUUAUGGCCAACUAA
This 1425-nucleotide ribosomal RNA is filed under the name Triticum aestivum (bread wheat). Its description in RNAcentral is "partial small subunit ribosomal RNA". The record is from RNAcentral. Lineage: Eukaryota; Viridiplantae; Streptophyta; Magnoliopsida; Poales; Poaceae.